UAGCUCAGUUGGUAGAGCAGUUGACUUUUAAUCAAUUGGUCGCAGGUUCGAAUCCUGCACGACCCACCAAUCGUUCUGGUGGAACGCGAUAGUAAAACGUGAAGGAUAACGUUGCGUAAGCAACGGCCCGUAGGGCGAGACGAAGUCGAGUCAUCCUGCACGACCCACCA
RNAcentral lists this small RNA (170 nucleotides) under Citrobacter portucalensis. RNAcentral describes it as "RtT sRNA". The stretch from base 1 to 66 matches the Rfam family "tRNA". Lineage: Bacteria; Pseudomonadati; Pseudomonadota; Gammaproteobacteria; Enterobacterales; Enterobacteriaceae. The record is from RNAcentral.